CACAAGCGGUGGAGUAUGUGGUUUAAUUCGAUGCAACGCGAAGACCUUACCUGGUCUUGACAUCCCGGAGACCCUUAGGAAACUAGGGGGUGCUUCCAUCUGGAAGAAUCUGGAGACAGGUGCUGCAUGGCUGUCGUCAGCUCGUGUCGUGAGAUGUUGGGUUAAGUCCCGCAACGAGCGCAACCCUUGCCUUUAGUUGCCAGCAGUUCGGCUGGGCACUCUAAAGGGACUGCCGGUGUUAAACCGGAGGAAGGUGGGGAUGACGUCAAGUCCUCAUGGCCUUUAUGACCAGGGCUACACACGUACUACAAUGGCCGAUACAAAGGGCAGCGACACUGCGAGGUGAAGCCAAUCCCGUAAAAUCGGUCUCAGUCCGGAUUGGAGUCUGCAACUCGACUCCAUGAAGUUGGAAUCGCUAGUAAUCGUGGAUCAGCAUGCCACGGUGAAUACGUUCCCGGGCCUU
Molecule: ribosomal RNA, 463 nt
Filed under: uncultured Desulfobulbus sp.
Lineage: Bacteria; Pseudomonadati; Thermodesulfobacteriota; Desulfobulbia; Desulfobulbales; Desulfobulbaceae
Description: bacterial SSU rRNA
Rfam family: Bacterial small subunit ribosomal RNA
Source: RNAcentral